Molecule: transfer RNA, 73 nt
Organism: Clostridium sp. CAG:169
Lineage: Bacteria; Bacillati; Bacillota; Clostridia; Eubacteriales; Clostridiaceae
Rfam family: tRNA
About the family: Transfer RNA (tRNA) molecules are approximately 80 nucleotides in length. Their secondary structure includes four short double-helical elements and three loops (D, anti-codon, and T loops).
Source: Rfam
GCUAGAGUGGCUCAGUCGGUAGAGCAGCUGAUUCGUAAUCAGCAGGUCGUGGGUUCGAUUCCCAUCUCUAGCC